GACUCCGUAGCUCAGUAGGUAGAGCUUCAGACUUUUAAUUUGAAGGUCCUGGGUUCGAGCCCCAGCGGAGCCA
Molecule: transfer RNA, 73 nt
Filed under: Paludibacteraceae bacterium
Lineage: Bacteria; Pseudomonadati; Bacteroidota; Bacteroidia; Bacteroidales; Paludibacteraceae
Also listed under: 1 other name
Description: tRNA-Lys
Rfam family: tRNA
About the family: Transfer RNA (tRNA) molecules are approximately 80 nucleotides in length. Their secondary structure includes four short double-helical elements and three loops (D, anti-codon, and T loops).
Source: RNAcentral